AAACCAGCAGCAAGUUUCUAGCAAUUUGACAUAUGUGGCAUCUAGUAUUAUAUAGUCUGGAAGGAAGUCAGAGAAUUAAGUUAGAGUUUUUGCUUUCCGAGUCAGAGCACCAGCUUUAGACUCAGACGUUUAUGUGUUUGAGAAUGAACAUUUGUCUCUGUCCUGGUUCUGAGCUUUGUGAUAUAAUACUUUAGCCUUGCUUUCUGUUUUUUGAUUAGUUUAUUUUCCAUGUACAAUGCCAUGCUGAAUUUUAGCUUUGAUCAAAUUAAUUUAGAAAUUUCAAUACAAUUACUGGAUUUGAGAGUACUGUACUAAAGUUUGUAAACUGAUUAAUAAAAAUACAUACAUAUAAGUGAUUGUUUUGCUGGUAAGAGUUGGAACACAUUUAAAGUGAAAUGUAAACUGCCAAGUGAAACUGUGGUAAACUUCAGAAGCAAUUGAAAACUCCAGAUUGUGUUAACUCAUCUGAAAAAAAUCCUAGGAAGAAUGCAUUUCUUUAGCAGACAAUGAAAAUGUUUGGUUUUCAAAGCCCGGUAGGCUGACUCAUUCUUUUAAAGCUUUAAUGGUUAAACCAGCUAAGCAGUACCACACCCAGCAUACCAUGAAAGCUGCUUUCUAUAGACACGUCCAUCUCCACUCCUCUAAGCUCUGUAAAUUGUAGUGAAAUGGAUCAGCUCUAUCAGCUGAGCAGCUAUAUACUUUAAGCUGUCUAUAACGGGAAAGAGUUCCACCCACCCACAUAAGUCACAGGCUUUCUCCAGCUGGACUGGAUUUCCCAGUAUGCUUUUUUCUCCGCCUCUCUUUUUAAGUGCUGCUGACGUCAUUUGUACACAGUACACCGAGAAAAUACAGAUGGAGAAGAAGCAAUCUUUGAGCCCGGCGUGUGUUUGAAAUUCAGAGAUCUCCCAAGACCAAAUAAUCCUCCUUCAUUGUCUUUUGAAAGGCAUGUCUACUUGGUGGGAUAACGUGCCUUACAGCGGUGUGACUGCUAAAGCACGGUAAAGUAUUGCGUAUUAAUUGGUCUGUGUACAAGUGACUGGUGUGCACUAAAAAUUCAGGGAAGAAUCCUUCUGUUGAUGUAGCUGUGCCUAAUUUAGGGGUUAGGUAGACUUAACCACGGCAUGCAGGGCAUAACAUUUUUCACAGCCCUGAGCAACGUGGCUAGGUCGAUCUAAUUUUUAAGUGUAGAUGAGGCCUGAGAUAAGGUUUCUGCAGUUUUAGAUUUCCUUCCCUAAACUCUUCUCUCAUUGUUUGUGGGCUAAUUCAUUAAAAAUAACUACACUAUAUAGGUUCUGGUUAAAUUUAGUUCUCCAUUUCUUUUAAAUUUAAAAGAUAACUUUUCUUCUUGAUUGCAACCUUCUG
Molecule: long non-coding RNA, 1362 nt
Filed under: Chrysemys picta bellii (western painted turtle)
Lineage: Eukaryota; Metazoa; Chordata; Testudines; Emydidae
Description: lncRNA (ENSCPBG00000026468.1)
Source: RNAcentral